GGCGGGGAAGGUGGGCGGGAUCGCUGGCAGGGAGGGGGGGCUGGCGAGAUGCGGCGCAAAACCAGAGCUUAGCCUGGCGGCCCAUCGAUCCCCGCCGGCCACCGACCGCGACGAGUGACAGGUAA
Molecule: long non-coding RNA, 125 nt
Filed under: Ornithorhynchus anatinus (platypus)
Lineage: Eukaryota; Metazoa; Chordata; Mammalia; Monotremata; Ornithorhynchidae
Description: lncRNA (ENSOANG00000049993.1)
Source: RNAcentral